Molecule: ribosomal RNA, 1682 nt
Filed under: Triticum aestivum (bread wheat)
Lineage: Eukaryota; Viridiplantae; Streptophyta; Magnoliopsida; Poales; Poaceae
Description: partial small subunit ribosomal RNA
Source: RNAcentral
GGGGUGGAAGAUUAGGGUGCGUGGUGGCUGUGUAUCCCGGUACCGGUGGGGGGCUAGAGGGUGGAAGAAGGGGCGGGCCCCGGGGUCUGGGGAUGGAAGAAGGAGCGGCCUCGGGGUGUUGGGUGGUGGAAGAGGUACCGGAGGAGGGGGUGGCCACCGGCGCGAGCAGUCCGGGCUGGAGCAGCCUUGGGGCGCCGCUCGGGGAUGGGGCUGCCCCCGGAUAGGAGGAGGUCACCGAGCCUGGUGGUACCGAGGCGGUGUUUAGACUUUGUUCUGAGGCCGCCCCCUGACGGGGGGCGCGACCGGUCCCAGCAGGAGAGACAGGUACCGGUCUGCUUCUGAUCAGCACGCGGGGAAGUGGCGGUAGCUGCGCUGAACCAGUUGUCGGUUUCGGUACCGGUGGUUCGCGCAGGCGUUGUCGUUGUAUUAACUUCACGCGGCCCCGUGCGCUACGCCAAGCCACUGCGCACCAGCACAUCAAGCGCCGGUGGUGUCCGGGGGAGUGGAGAUGGAGGUACCGGUGCAGGAGUUGAUCGCCGCGGGACGGGAGCAGCGGCCGGUACCGCGGCGUCGGUGGUCCGAGCUCGCAGACGAGAAGAGGGAACUGGGAAACGAUCGGCCGCAGUGGGGCCCGGCUAGGUCCGUCAACCCGCCCCCACACCUACACGUCCCAUCACGAGGGGCUCCACGUCACGCCGCACGCACGCACGUCAGGUUUUUAGCCUCCGCACGUCACAUCAUCUCGUGGUCUACCGUCACCGGUUGUCGGGGAGCUAGGGCAGAGAGACGGCUGCCGUUGAUGAGUGUACCGCGACGAGGAACCUGGGCGAGGUAGUGGCCGUAGGGCGGCUAUGCUGCUCGUCGUUACCUCCUGGGGACGUCUAGGGCACGAGGAGCAGUUGCCGUCGGCGGUGGACAACAGAUCUACUUCUUCUUCGCCAAACGUCAGGUGCGCUACGGCCGCACGUCAGACACACACGUCGAGGGUCGGGUUGCUGCCGGACUAGGAGAGGUAAAAACCUCAAUUAAAUAAAGGGGGUUACAGUGGAGUGAGGAACAUCUUUCGUUGUUCAAAAUAGUUUGAACCACUCCAGGGUCGGUGGGUGCCGUACGUUAUGCCUAUCACUGCUGCACGUCAAACGACACGCUUACGACAGGUCCUAAACGGUAACCUCUAACAGAUUUAGGAUCACCACCACAAGGAAGGGCGGCCACCACCACGAUGACGCUCGACCUCACCUCGAGAUGGGACUGCGCACCGCGAUGUCAGGGAGAACCAACAGGGAGUGGCGAUAUGAGGAGAGAGUUCAUCUCUCGUAGUCAAGCUAAACAUUACGUACGCAGAUCAAGGUCGCCGGCUCCAUCUUCGUCAAAUCACCGUCGCACGAACGUCAAACCACGUACAACAGAAUGUAAAGCCAACGUUUUUUUACUACGUAUAUUCUACGCAGGUCAACGCCAAAUCAACGACGCGACUACAUCAAAACGAUCCCAUGCUCCACCACGAAGCAACACGUCACCUUUUUUGUUUCUUUUUCCUUUUCCUGUUUUAUCUUCUUACGUCAUGUGUACCGAGCAGUGAUGUCAGGGUUUUCGUACAAUUACUUUUUGUAACAGGAUUUAUUACAAUGUACUUUUACAGUCGUCAUUGAGCACGUAAAGUAUCUCAAAUGCCAUCGUGG